Molecule: long non-coding RNA, 494 nt
Organism: Cyprinus carpio (common carp)
Lineage: Eukaryota; Metazoa; Chordata; Actinopteri; Cypriniformes; Cyprinidae
Exons: 5
Source: RefSeq, a predicted model, not a curated record
AAUUAGUAUUUUAGUCAAUCAGGAAAGAUAUAACAAAUAAUACAAACUCUCUCUGUCUACAGACAACCUUAAAUCAUGGAUCAGGAUUUUCAGAAUUACAAGAGAAUUUGCUGUUUUUAUGGUUUUUGUAUAUUCAGUUCUUUUUACAUAUGUCUGGAGAAAGAGAGCACAUGAUACAGACACCAAACCACGCAUAUUUUCUGCAGUAUUAUUUGGAAUUGUUGUGCUGAGUUGUCUCAUCUUGAGUAUAGUUGACGUCUCAAGGUGUCCCAGUCAAGAGAGGCCCAGCGGGGCUUCCCCAUGCAACCAAACUCUAGGUUGCAGACACAAGCUCUUUAUAUUUUGUCUGAUUAUUUCUAUCCUGUCUGAUUGUCAACUGUUCCAGUUCAUCAUCUUAUUUAUUCCCUCUGAAGAAAUUUUUGUUGUGGUAUUUGUUCAGCCACUACUGCUUAUCUGUAUACCACUUUUACCUCAUCUGCAAGCAAAAUUAAAAU